RNAcentral lists this long non-coding RNA (344 nucleotides) under Nicotiana benthamiana. RNAcentral describes it as "long non-coding RNA (NBEN_LNC020492)". Lineage: Eukaryota; Viridiplantae; Streptophyta; Magnoliopsida; Solanales; Solanaceae. The record is from RNAcentral.
AACCGAGAGGUUGUGAGUUCGAGUCUCCCCAAGAGCAAAGGUGGGAAGUUCUUGGAGGGAAGGAUGCCGGGGGUCUAUUUAGAAACAGCCUCUCUACCAUAGGGUAGGGGUAAGUUCUGCGUACAUACUACCCUCCCCAGACCCCACUAAGUGGGAUUAUAAUGGGUUGUACUUUUUUAACAGCCUCUCUACCCCAGGGUAGGGGUAAGGUCUGCGUACAUACUACCCUCCCCAUAUCCCACUAAGUGGGAUUAUAUUGGGUUGUACUUUUUUCUAUUGAAACUAGAGCGUCUAGAUUGAAUUACAAAGUGAUUCUGAUGAUUUGGAUGUCCUAAAUACUUUCU